RNAcentral lists this ribosomal RNA (1462 nucleotides) under human gut metagenome. RNAcentral's name for it is "bacterial LSU rRNA". It matches the Rfam family "Bacterial large subunit ribosomal RNA", at positions 1064 to 2539 of the family's 2925-position model. The record is from RNAcentral.
UGGAAAAGGAUGUGGGAUUUCUAAGACAACUAGGAUGUUGGCUUAGAAGCAGCCAUUCAUUAAAAGAGUGCGUAAUAGCUCACUAGUCGAGAGAUCUUGCGCCGAAAAUGUAACGGGGCUAAACUUACCACCGAAGCUACGGGCUUGAACAUAGUUCAAGCGGUAGGAGAGCGUCGUAACCGGGCUGAAGUCGUACCGUAAGGAGCGGUGGACUGGUUACGAGUGAGAAUGUUGGCAUCAGUAGCGAGAUGUGGGUGAGAAUCCCACAGGCCGAAAACCUAAGGUUUCCUCAGGAAGGUUCGUCCGCUGAGGGUUAGUCGGGACCUAAGCCGAGGCCGAAAGGCGUAGGUGAUGGACAACUGGUUGAUAUUCCAGUACCACUACCAUCGUUAUUAUCGAUGGCGUGACGCAGGAGGAUAGUGUGUGCUAGCUAUUGGAUGCUAGUCUAAGCGUUUAGGCAGUGAGAGUAGGCAAAUCCGCUCUCAUAAUGCUGAGGCGUGAUGGGGAAGGUUCCACGGAACCGAAGUACAUGAUUCCACGCUGCCAAGAAAAGCGUCUAGAGAGAGAAGUAGUGCCCGUACCGCAAACCGACACAGGUAGGUGAGGAGAGAAUCCUAAGGCCGGCGGAAGAAUUACAGUUAAGGAACUCGGCAAAUUGACCCCGUAAGUUCGCGAGAAGGGGUGCCUACGAGAGUAGGCCGCAGAGAAUAGGCCCAAGCAACUGUUUAGCAAAAACACAGGUCUCUGCUAAAGCGAAAGCUGAUGUAUAGGGGCUGACGCCUGCCCGGUGCUGGAAGGUUAAGGGGAACACUUAGCGCAAGCGAAGGUGUGAACUUAAGCCCCAGUAAACGGCGGCCGUAACUAUAACGGUCCUAAGGUAGCGAAAUUCCUUGUCAGGUAAGUUCUGACCCGCACGAAUGGCGUAAUGACUUGGGCACUGUCUCAACUGUGAAUCCGGCGAAGUUGUAGUGCGAGUGAAGAUGCUCGCUACCCGCGAUUGGACGGAAAGACCCCGUAGAGCUUUACUGUAGCUUAGCAUUGAGUUUUGGUAUUGUCUGUACAGGAUAGGUGGGAGACUAGGAAACCAGGGCGUCAGCCUUGGUGGAGUCAACCUUGGGAUACCACCCUGACAGUACUGAAAUUCUAACUGGCGGCCAUGAAUCUGGUCACAGGACAUUGUUAGGUGGGCAGUUUGACUGGGGCGGUCGCCUCCUAAAAAGUAACGGAGGCGCCCAAAGGUUCCCUCAGAACGGUCGGAAAUCGUUCGAAGAGUGCAAAGGCAGAAGGGAGCCUGACUGCGACACCCACAAGUGGAGCAGGGACGAAAGUCGGGCUUAGUGAUCCGGUGGUACCUCGUGGGAGGGCCAUCGCUCAACGGAUAAAAGCUACCUCGGGGAUAACAGGCUGAUCUCCCCCAAGAGUCCACAUCGACGGGGAGGUUUGGCACCUCGAUGUCGGCUCG